CUUAAAGUCGCAGAUCUGCCUGGAGACGUCGAAGAGGAGUCCCUGCGAGCACUUGAAUUCGAACACCUCAUUGUCUGAAACGUAACGAUGAGACGUGAACCUUUUGGAAUUCAUUCAACGUCGAACCGUUUACCUAGGCAGAGAAAAUAUUUGGCGCACUCCGCAGGUGACCAGACGCUGUGCGCCGAUGCCUUGGGAUUUCGAUAGAAUUUGUUGUCGUCUAUGCAAGGAACCUCCCCGGAUUUUCCUUUCUCCGCCGCGCUAUUCACUGCAAACGUGUCAUCCAAGUCAAAUUUUCAUCGCUUUCAAGUAUUUAGAUGGCAAAGUACAUAGCAUAUUUCUCUUAUACAGAAUUCAGAAAUACGUUCCUUUACUUUUAUUAAAAAAAAAAAAAAAAUUUCCAAAUUAUUAGAGAAAAAACCUUUUGA
Odontomachus brunneus is the source of this 428-nucleotide long non-coding RNA. RefSeq lists it as uncharacterized. Lineage: Eukaryota; Metazoa; Arthropoda; Insecta; Hymenoptera; Formicidae. The transcript is spliced from 2 exons. The record is from RefSeq and is a predicted model, not a curated record.